AUUGAACGCUGGCGGCAGGCUUAACACAUGUAAGUCGAGCGGGGUGAUGGUGCUUGCACUAUCACUUAGCGGCGGACGGGUGAGUAAUGCUUAGGAAUCUGCCUAUUAGUGGGGGACAACAUCUCGAAAGGGAUGCUAAUACCGCAUACGUUCUACGGGAGAAAGCAGGGGAUCACUUGUGACCUUGCGCUAAUAGAUGAGCCUAAGUCGGAUUAGCUAGUUGGUGGGGUAAAGGCCUACCAAGGCGACGAUCUGUAGCGGGUCUGAGAGGAUGAUCCGCCACACUGGGACUGAGACACGGCCCAGACUCCUACGGGAGGCAGCAGUGGGGAAUAUUGGACAAUGGGGGGAACCCUGAUCCAGCCAUGCCGCGUGUGUGAAGAAGGUCUUCGGAUUGUAAAGCACUUUAAGUUGGGAGGAAGGGCAGUAAGUUAACACCUUGCUGUUUUGACGUUACCGACAGAAUAAGCACCGGCUAACUCUGUGCCAGCCGCCGCGGUAA
This 502-nucleotide ribosomal RNA is filed under the name uncultured bacterium. Its description in RNAcentral is "partial 16S ribosomal RNA". It matches the Rfam family "Bacterial small subunit ribosomal RNA", at positions 30 to 523 of the family's 1533-position model. The record is from RNAcentral.